AUAGAGGACACAGAGACUAAUCCACAAAGCUACAACUACCUUAUAUUUGAUAAAGGAGCUAAAAGCAUGCAAUGGAGGAAGGAUAGCAUCUUCAACAAAUGGUGUUGGGAAAACUGGAAAUUCAUAUGCAACAAAAUGAAACUGAAUCCCCUCCUCUCGCCAUGCACAAAAGUUAACUCAAAGUGGAUCAAGGAGCUAGAUAUCAA
RNAcentral lists this long non-coding RNA (206 nucleotides) under Marmota monax (woodchuck). The record is from RNAcentral. Lineage: Eukaryota; Metazoa; Chordata; Mammalia; Rodentia; Sciuridae.